Molecule: long non-coding RNA, 696 nt
Organism: Gossypium arboreum
Lineage: Eukaryota; Viridiplantae; Streptophyta; Magnoliopsida; Malvales; Malvaceae
Exons: 2
Source: RefSeq, a predicted model, not a curated record
GACUGAAAUGAAUAAACGUGCAAAUUCCUAAGACAAUUUAGAAAACAAGGAAAAUAUAAACAGGUUUUAAUUACAAGUCAGCGCAAAAGAGAAUGGACCAAAAGCGGAAAUUAACCAUUUAAAGAUAAUGUGCGCAUAGACCAAGUUAAAAUGCCUUCUGUUCCUUUCCCCAAUACUGUUUUAUUUUAUUACUAAAAUUUAAAACCUAUUUCAAAAUCCCUUUUUUUCCUUAAAAAAGCAUUUUAACUUUGUUUUUUUUUAAAAAAAAACUUAGAACUUGAAAACUUUCCCCUUCUCCCCUUGUUUCCUGCCGAAAGGCUAAUAACCAAGCCUUCAACCGCCGCCGAGACCAACUGCGACGGUCGGAGCAGGGCCUUCCAGUGGCGCGAGCGCGACGUAACUCCGGUCACGAAGACGUGGAGGGAGAACAGGCGUGGGAAGUGCUACACGCGGGCUGGGGCGGACGUGUGAGGUGGAGUGUGUGGUGACUACCGGUGGCUGCGCAUGGAGUAGCCUAGGGUUUCUUAUCUUCCUUAUUUUGCUGGAAAAUUUUAAACUUUUGGGUUUGUAAUUUUGGGCUAAGGUUUGGGGGUUUUUUAUUGGGCCUAUCUGGGUUUUAUUUUCUGUUUAUUUAUUUGUGGGUCUUGAGCCAGGCAAAAAUUUGGUUUUACAAUUUUAUUUUUUAAUUAUUUUAAA